UACAGAGGUCCCAAGCGUUGUUCGGAUUCACUGGGCGUAAAGGGUGCGUAGGCGGUUGGGUAAGUCUGAUGUGAAAUCUCACAGCUUAACUGUGAAACUGCAUUGGAUACUAUCCGGCUAGAGGAAUGGAGGGGAGACUGGAAUACUUGGUGUAGCAGUGAAAUGCGUAGAUAUCAAGUGGAACACCAGUGGCGAAGGCGAGUCUCUGGACAGUUCCUGACACUGAGGCACGAAGGCCAGGGGAGCAAACGGG
Molecule: ribosomal RNA, 253 nt
Filed under: uncultured bacterium
Lineage: Bacteria
Description: partial 16S ribosomal RNA
Rfam family: Bacterial small subunit ribosomal RNA
Source: RNAcentral